This 253-nucleotide ribosomal RNA is filed under the name uncultured bacterium. Its description in RNAcentral is "partial 16S ribosomal RNA". It matches the Rfam family "Bacterial small subunit ribosomal RNA", at positions 524 to 776 of the family's 1533-position model. The record is from RNAcentral.
UCCGUAGGAUGCAAGCGUUGUCCGGAUUUAUUGGGUUUAAAGGGUGCGUAGGCGGCCUAUUAAGUUAGUGGUGAAAACGUGCGGCUUAACCGGAUACCCGCCAUUGAUACUGAUAGACUUGAGUGCGACAGAGGGUGUUGGAAUGUGUGGUGUAGCGGUGAAAUGCUUAGAUAUCACGCAGAACACCAAUUGCGAAGGCAGAUGCCUAUGUCGUAACUGACGCUGAGGCACGAAAGCGUGGGUAGAAAACAGG